CGGACGGGUGAGUAACGCGUGAGAAUCUACCUUUAGGACGGGGACAACAAUUGGAAACGAUUGCUAAUACCCGAUAUGCCCUUCGGGGUGAAAUGUUUUAUCGCCUGAAGAUGAGCUCGCGUCCGAUUAGCUAGUAGGUAGUGUAAUGGACUACCUAGGCGAUGAUCGGUAGCUGGUUUGAGAGGACAAUCAGCCACACUGGGACUGAGACACGGCCCAGACUCCUACGGGAGGCAGCAGUGGGGAAUUUUCCGCAAUGGGCGCAAGCCUGACGGAGCAAUACCGCGUGGGGGAGGAAGGUCUGUGGAUUGUAAACCCCUUUUCUCAGGGAAGAAGCUCUGACGGUACCUGAGGAAUCAGCAUCGGCUAACUCCGUGCCAGCAGCCGCGGUAAUACGGAGGAUGCAAGCGUUAUCCGGAAUUAUUGGGCGUAAAGCGUCCGCAGGCGGCUAGAUAAGUCUGCUUUCAAAGAGUGGGGCUCAACCCCAUAGGGGGAGUGGAAACUGUUUAGCUAGAGUAUGGUAGGGGCAGAGGGAAUUCCCAGUGUAGCGGUGAAAUGCGUAGAUAUUGGGAAGAACACCAGUGGCGAAGGCGCUCUGCUGGACCGAGACUGACGCUGAGGGACGAAAGCUAGGGGAGCGAAAGGGAUUAGAUACCCCUGUAGUC
This 665-nucleotide ribosomal RNA is filed under the name uncultured cyanobacterium. RNAcentral describes it as "bacterial SSU rRNA". It matches the Rfam family "Bacterial small subunit ribosomal RNA", at positions 99 to 795 of the family's 1533-position model. Lineage: Bacteria; Bacillati; Cyanobacteriota. The record is from RNAcentral.